ACUAAACUCACUUUGUGUCAAUAACACACACAUGUCGGCACGUUCGCCGGGGUGCUCUGAAGGUGGCUUCACCGGAGGGGUCGGCGCAAUGGGACAUGUGGAGGCAUAACC
This 111-nucleotide small RNA is filed under the name Samsonia erythrinae. RNAcentral describes it as "t44 RNA". It matches the Rfam family "t44 RNA". Rfam says of the family: This family consists of a number of bacterial RNA genes of between 135 and 170 bases in length. The t44 gene is found between the map and rpsB genes in all species in the full alignment apart from Shigella flexneri. Lineage: Bacteria; Pseudomonadati; Pseudomonadota; Gammaproteobacteria; Enterobacterales; Pectobacteriaceae. The record is from RNAcentral.